CCUACGGGUGGCUGCAGUGGGGAAUAUUGGACAAUGGGGGGAACCCUGAUCCAGCCAUGCCGCGUGUGUGAAGAAGGCCCUCGGGUUGUAAAGCACUUUCAGUGAGGAAGAACGCCUGGUGGUUAAUACCCAUCAGGAAAGACAUCACUCACAGAAGAAGCACCGGCUAACUCCGUGCCAGCAGCCGCGGUAAUACGGAGGGUGCGAGCGUUAAUCGGAAUUACUGGGCGUAAAGCGCGCGUAGGUGGCUUGAUAAGCCGGUUGUGAAAGCCCCGGGCUCAACCUGGGAACGGCAUCCGGAACUGUCAAGCUAGAGUGCAGGAGAGGAAGGUAGAAUUCACGGUGUAGCGGUGAAAUGCGUAGAGAUCGGGAGGAAUACCAGUGGCGAAGGCGGCCUUCUGGACUGACACUGACACUGAGGUGCGAAAGCGUGGGUAGCAAACAGGAUUAGAUACCCCAGUAGUC
RNAcentral lists this ribosomal RNA (465 nucleotides) under Vreelandella stevensii. RNAcentral describes it as "partial 16S ribosomal RNA". It matches the Rfam family "Bacterial small subunit ribosomal RNA", at positions 338 to 795 of the family's 1533-position model. The record is from RNAcentral. Lineage: Bacteria; Pseudomonadati; Pseudomonadota; Gammaproteobacteria; Oceanospirillales; Halomonadaceae.